RNAcentral lists this non-coding RNA (77 nucleotides) under Micromonas pusilla. Lineage: Eukaryota; Viridiplantae; Chlorophyta; Mamiellophyceae; Mamiellales; Mamiellaceae. The record is from RNAcentral.
CGCACGGCCCGCACGGCCCGCACGGCCCGCACGGCCGCCACCACAACCACCCGCGCCCGUGCCACCCCCCUAGGGAC